UAGGGAAUCUUCCGCAAUGGACGCAAGUCUGACGGAGCAACGCCGCGUGAGUGAAGAAGGAUUUCGGUUCGUAAAACUCUGUUGUUAGAGAAGAACAGCGCAUAGAGUAACUGUUAUGCGUGUGACGGUAUCUAACCAGAAAGCCACGGCUAACUACGUGCCAGCAGCCGCGGUAAUACGUAUGUGGCAAGCGUUGUCCGGAUUUAUUGGGCGUAAAGCGAGCGCAGGCGGUCAAUUAAGUCUGAUGUGAAAGCCCCCGGCUCAACCGGGGAGGGUCAUUGGAAACUGGUUGACUUGAGUGCAGAAGAGGAGAGUGGAAUUCCAUGUGUAGCGGUGAAAUGCGUAGAUAUAUGGAGGAACACCAGUGGCGAAGGCGACUCUCUGGUCUGUAACUGACGCUGAGGCUCGAAAGCGUGGGUAGCAAACAGG
Molecule: ribosomal RNA, 429 nt
Filed under: Bacteroidota bacterium
Lineage: Bacteria; Pseudomonadati; Bacteroidota
Description: Bacteroidetes bacterium partial 16S ribosomal RNA
Rfam family: Bacterial small subunit ribosomal RNA
Source: RNAcentral